CUCCUUGAAUUGGUGACCUAAUGAAGUGAAAUUUCUUUUAUUUACCUUCCAACACGAAAAAAAUAGUUAAGGUACGACUUUAAUUAACAAAUACUCAUAGACGAUGGAAAUAAGCAUGAAAUUGAAUAAUUAAAGUAUUUAAAUGAAAGUAAACAACCCAUAUUUAAGAAAUUAAAACAAGCAAGGACCUAACUGAAACAAUUAAAGAAGUUUGAGAGGUCAAAUUAAAGGAAAAUAAAAUUAAGGGCUCUAAAUAAAGUCUACCAAAACUAAAUGCUAAAAUUCACAAAAAAAUAAAUGAAAACCCAUUUGCUAUAAUUAAACAACAAAAUUACCCAAAAUUUUACUAAAAUCCAAACCAAAAUUGUAAAUCUUAUAAAAAAUUAUUAAACCUAAAAUUUCAUCCUAAAAUUCACCAAUAAUCUGUCCAAAAAUCACAUUAAAACAUACCAAAGAAAAAUAACAUUUUAAAAGGACAAAAUUGAUUAAUUUUCCAAUUUUAUGGGCCAUAGUAGUAUGAAGUAACAAUCCAGGGGUCAAAGUGCAAUUGUUUGGAAAUAUUUCAUGCAGCCCACGAAGAAGCUUUCUGCAACUUUGCCGCUAUGGGAUUCAUAUCGAACACAGGUAACAAAAUCCAAGCAAAACAUCAAGUUUUCAGACUAAAACAACAAAGAUUAUGGAGUCCAAGCAUCAAGAUUCAAUCUUGGGUAUAUUUAAUACAAAAUUUGUGCUAUAAAAUCUGAACUAUCAUCCCAUAAGAUGAGUAGGAAAAGUGCGGCAAAAGAAGAGAAUAAUGCAAGCUAGAUUCGGACAAGUUUGGCCCAGAUUUAAACUUAAAUGGCAAGGGUAAAGUGAACUACAUCACCUUAAACACUUUAAGAAAUGGAGAUGACGCUGUAAGCUUGAGGGGAGAGGAAUCCAAGCACUGCAACUACAAGCAGAUAUGCUUGGCGCAGAUGAUGCAAGAACUGUGACUUCAGCAGGUUUAGGCUUCGAUUCAAGGGCGUUGCAGUGGUUUUUUCCCAAAACUUGUAACACAAAGAUUCCUCCCCAAACACCGUAGAUUAUCCAACAAAAUAAAUCUUUCUAAAAUAAGUUAUGAUCAGAUCAGAAAAUGGCCGGGAAGAUCCCUAAAUCUCCAACCCUGGCUCAACUUUUAGCAGAAAAAAUUUCUGCACUUUUCUCUCUCCUUUCUUUCUCGAUUUUCCCUCCCUUUUUGCUGUUUUUUCCUUCUGUUUUCCUCUCUCAGUUUCUUCCCAGGUUCCUUCAGCCGCUAAACCCCAUUUUUCCUUCUCCCUUUUCUUUUCUUUCCCCCUUUCCUCCUACUGCCCGAAGCCUCUCUUCCAGUGUUUUCCUUUUUCCAACCUCGGUUUUCCUUUUCCAGUUUCUCCCCUGUUUUCUUUCUUUCUUCCCUGAUCCUCUCUUGUUCUUUCCUUUCUGUUCCUCAGCCCCCUUUUCUCCCAAUCUCCUCUCUUUUCACCCUUUCCCGCAGCUCUUCCUCUUGUUUUUUCUUUCUUGCUUUUCUCUUGUUUUUUCCUCUCUCUCCCUGCAACCUCUUGCUUGUUUCUCCCUUUCUUUCUUUUCCUUCACCGCCCCCAAGCUUUCUUUCUUGCCCAGUUUUUUUCUCUCCCAAAACCUCCCUCUCUAGU
Molecule: long non-coding RNA, 1649 nt
Filed under: Coffea arabica (coffee)
Lineage: Eukaryota; Viridiplantae; Streptophyta; Magnoliopsida; Gentianales; Rubiaceae
Description: long non-coding RNA (CARA_LNC004681)
Source: RNAcentral